This 465-nucleotide ribosomal RNA is filed under the name Vreelandella stevensii. RNAcentral describes it as "partial 16S ribosomal RNA". It matches the Rfam family "Bacterial small subunit ribosomal RNA", at positions 338 to 795 of the family's 1533-position model. Lineage: Bacteria; Pseudomonadati; Pseudomonadota; Gammaproteobacteria; Oceanospirillales; Halomonadaceae. The record is from RNAcentral.
CCUACGGGGGGCAGCAGUGGGGAAUAUUGGACAAUGGGGGGAACCCUGAUCCAGCCAUGCCGCGUGUGUGAAGAAGGCCCUCGGGUUGUAAAGCACUUUCAGUGAGGAAGAACGCCUGGUGGUUAAUACCCAUCAGGAAAGACAUCACUCACAGAAGAAGCACCGGCUAACUCCGUGCCAGCAGCCGCGGUAAUACGGAGGGUGCGAGCGUUAAUCGGAAUUACUGGGCGUAAAGCGCGCGUAGGUGGCUUGAUAAGCCGGUUGUGAAAGCCCCGGGCUCAACCUGGGAACGGCAUCCGGAACUGUCAAGCUAGAGUGCAGAAGAGGAAGGUAGAAUUCCCGGUGUAGCGGUGAAAUGCGUAGAGAUCGGGAGGAAUACCAGUGGCGAAGGCGGCCUUCUAGACUGACACUGACACUGAGGUGCGAAAGCGUGGGUAGCAAACAGGAUUAGAUACCCCGGUAGUC